CUGUCUGGUGUACUCGUAAUAUCUGGACUGGUUUAAUGGCUUGUUUCAUGGGAGAAGCGCUAAACUUUACCUCAACAUUUAUGUAAAAUUAAAGCUGCACAGAUUCUAAGUCUUGGAAGUUUAUUUCAAAGAAAAGACAAUGCCUGUGCCACAUAUUUGACUUGGCUUCCAAUUUUUGUCUUUUGAGAUGGUUGCUCUUGGAAAACAGAAAUACGCUUCAAGAUGUCAAGCCUCCUCUGCUGAUGCCGUAUGGAGAACAGACAAGCUUUCCCAUCAAGCCCUAACCAAACUGCACAACUGUGAAUAAAAUCAAUAAUUGUUAUGAAAAGGC
This 331-nucleotide long non-coding RNA is filed under the name Pan troglodytes (chimpanzee). RNAcentral describes it as "long non-coding RNA NONPTRT013171". The record is from RNAcentral. Lineage: Eukaryota; Metazoa; Chordata; Mammalia; Primates; Hominidae.